CACUUCAUUAGAGAUUGAGUUUGAAACCUUCAUUUACAUCUAGUAAUUUAGUACUUGUUCUACUGGUUCUUGCUGGUUCUUCGAUUGCUUGCAGGACGAGUGCCCUAGUGGCCGGGUGUUGCGCUCCACAAGAUCGUGACAGCCAUUGGAGGCGGUGUAUCGGUUGCUAAGGCGCGGCCUUAGAAGGCUGUAGUCGGGCCGUGAACGUCAUCUCCAUUCACUAAUCGAGUUAUCCAGCGCCUCUCAUCGAAAGAUCAGGCGAAAACCCUAGUGGGUUCACAUCAGUUGGUAAUCAGAGCAAGGUUUAUCGGUGAGAGAUUUCCAAUUCUUCGUGAUUGUUUUUCCUAUAGUCCAAAAAAAAGCCAAAAAAUAUAGCAGAUUUGUUUUCCAUAAUCCUAUAAAUCCUUUGUGCCGUGGCUAGUACUACUUAGUUAGGGCUGGUUGAAUGAGUGUUUGCUUCGGUCGUGUCUAGUGCUGGUUUUAGUUUAGUCCUUUAGAGUUUUGAGUUCUUGUCACCAUCUAGUCACAACUGCGUCCAAUCUAUUGUGGGUUGGAAUUUGAGUAGAUCUUGAUAAUAGGUGCAGCCACUUGUUGGUCUAUUCUGCGUUUCCAUCAACGUGAUCCAAAAGGAAAGAUAGCACUUCAUACUUGUGCUAGAUAUAUUGAAUUUUGAGGUUCAGCCUUACUCUAGUGAGAGGGUGAGAGUGGUGAAGUGAUAUUUUGUACUAUUUUGUUUAUAUAAUCAGGUUUUGAGGUUCCCCAAAAAAAAGAAAAGAGAAAGAAAAAAAAUAAAGAAAAAAAAGAAAGAAAGAAAGAAAAAAAAUCAAAAAAAAGGAUUGUUGUUCCUUUUGUUUCCAGUAGGGCUGCUCAUUUUGUUUCUAGUGGUGUGCUGUGUUUUCCCUUUGUGUCCAGGCUCGCGUCUCUAGCACGGUCUAGGCUAGGACCAGCAUAGUACCACCGUUGAGCGUUUAUUCAACUUGCUUUUUAUAACUAACGUGGUGCUAGUUCGAUCCUUGUUUCAGCCCACCUAUAGCUCCACAUAUUCUACAGCUUGAUAGGUUUUGUUGCUGCGGCACCGAUACACUUCGUCCAUUGCUGUGGAUUUGUUGGUAGCCAAUCCCUCCUGUUGAGCAAGGUA
RNAcentral lists this long non-coding RNA (1138 nucleotides) under Sorghum bicolor (sorghum). RNAcentral's name for it is "long non-coding RNA (SBIC_LNC010461)". The record is from RNAcentral. Lineage: Eukaryota; Viridiplantae; Streptophyta; Magnoliopsida; Poales; Poaceae.